Molecule: transfer RNA, 66 nt
Filed under: Isoscelipteron pectinatum
Lineage: Eukaryota; Metazoa; Arthropoda; Insecta; Neuroptera; Berothidae
Description: tRNA-Phe
Rfam family: tRNA
About the family: Transfer RNA (tRNA) molecules are approximately 80 nucleotides in length.
Source: RNAcentral
AUUUAAAUAGCUUAAGGUUAGAGCGUAAUAUUGAAGAUAUUAAAGUGAUAUUAUUAUCUUUAAAUA